CUUUCUCUGCCUCUGUGGUGGAUAGUGUAGUGUUUCCCAUGUGGUAUUGGUGUGCUGGAUACCCCUUCACUGGUAGCCUGGUAACAUACACUCCCAGGUCUUUCUCUGCCUCUGUGGUGGAUAGUGUAGUGUUUCCCAUGUGGUAUUGGUGUGCUGGAUAUCCCUUCACUGGUAGCCUGGUAACAUACACUCCCAGGUCUUUCUCUGCCUCUGUGGUGGAUAGUGGAGUGUUUCCCAUGUGGUAUUGGUGUGCUGGAUAUCCCUUCACUGGUAGCCUGGUAACAUACACUCCCAGGUCUUUCUCUGCCUCUGUGGUGGAUAGUGGAGUGUUUCCCAUGUGGUAUUGGUGUGCUGGAUAUCCCUUCACUGGUAGCCUGGUCACAUACACUCCCAGGUCUUUCUCUGCCUCUGUGGUGGAUAGUGGAGUGUUUCCCAUGUGGUAAUGGUGUGCUGGAUAUCCCUUCACUGGUAGCCUGGUAACAUACACUCCCAGGUCUUUCUCUGCCUCUGUGGUGGAUAGUGGAGUGUUUCCCAUGAGGUAUUGGUGUGCUGGAUAUCCCUUCACUGGUAGCCUGGUAACAUACACUCCCAGGUCUUUCUCUGCCUCUGUGGUGGAUAGUGGAGUGUUUCCCAUGUGGUAUUGGUGUGCUGGAUAUCCCUUCACUGGUAGCCUGGUAACAUACACUCCCAGGUCUUUCUCUGCCUCUGUGGUGGAUAGUGGAGUGUUUCCCAAGUGGUAUUGGUGUGCUGGAUAUCCUUUCACUGGUAGCCUGGUAACAUACAC
Molecule: long non-coding RNA, 784 nt
Organism: Eriocheir sinensis (Chinese mitten crab)
Lineage: Eukaryota; Metazoa; Arthropoda; Malacostraca; Decapoda; Varunidae
Exons: 4
Source: RefSeq, a predicted model, not a curated record